AGGAUAUUAUCAUGUAUGUCAACUCUCCAGGAGGAUCAGUAACAGCUGGUAUGGCCAUAUUUGAUACCAUGAGGCACAUAAGACCUGAUGUUUCCACUGUAUGUGUUGGACUGGCUGCCAGUAUGGGCGCAUUUCUGCUUAGUGGUGGCACCAAAGG
This is a long non-coding RNA of Pistacia vera, 157 nucleotides long. RefSeq lists it as uncharacterized. The record is from RefSeq and is a predicted model, not a curated record. Lineage: Eukaryota; Viridiplantae; Streptophyta; Magnoliopsida; Sapindales; Anacardiaceae. The transcript is spliced from 3 exons.